Molecule: non-coding RNA, 135 nt
Organism: Triticum urartu
Lineage: Eukaryota; Viridiplantae; Streptophyta; Magnoliopsida; Poales; Poaceae
Source: Rfam
CACAUACUCCCUCCGUCCGGAAAUACUUGUCAUGAAAAUGGAUAAAAAGAGGUGUAUCUAGAACUAAAAUACAUCUAAAUACAUCCCCUUUUAUUCAUCUUGAUGACAAGUAUUUCCGGACGGAGGGAGUACAUU